This 253-nucleotide ribosomal RNA is filed under the name uncultured bacterium. RNAcentral describes it as "partial 16S ribosomal RNA". It matches the Rfam family "Bacterial small subunit ribosomal RNA", at positions 524 to 776 of the family's 1533-position model. The record is from RNAcentral.
GACGAACCGUACGAACGUUAUUCGGUGUCACUGGGCUUAAAGGGUGCGUAGGCGGCGGACAAAGUUGGGUGUGAAAUCCCUCGGCUUAACCGAGGAAUGGCGCUCAAAACUAGUUCGCUCGAGGGAGAUAGAGGUGAGCGGAACUUACGGUGGAGCGGUGAAAUGCGUUGAUAUCGUAGGGAACACCAGUUGCGAAAGCGGCUCACUGGGUCUCUUCUGACGCUGAGGCACGAAAGCUAGGGUAGCGAACGGG